UACGUAGGUGGCGAGCGUUGUCCGGAUUUACUGGGCGUAAAGAGCGCGCAGGCGGUCGUGCAAGUCGCGUGUGAAAGCCCCCGGCUCAACUGGGGAGGGUCACGCGAUACUGCUCGACUUGAAGGCAGGAGAGGGAAGUGGAAUUCCCGGUGUAGUGGUGAAAUGCGUAGAUAUCUGGAGGAACACCGGUGGCGAAGGCGGCAUCCUGGACCGGCAUUGACGCUGAGGCGCGAAAGCCAGGGGAGCAAACGGG
RNAcentral lists this ribosomal RNA (253 nucleotides) under uncultured bacterium. RNAcentral's name for it is "partial 16S ribosomal RNA". It matches the Rfam family "Bacterial small subunit ribosomal RNA", at positions 524 to 776 of the family's 1533-position model. The record is from RNAcentral.